RNAcentral lists this ribosomal RNA (710 nucleotides) under uncultured rumen protozoa. Its description in RNAcentral is "partial 18S ribosomal RNA". It matches the Rfam family "Eukaryotic small subunit ribosomal RNA", at positions 1361 to 1831 of the family's 1831-position model. The record is from RNAcentral.
GAGCGCAUAUGCAGACUCGUCGACAUACAGGAGACCUCAAGUCUUACACGAGAUGGUUAAGCACUAUCCUGAUUAUAGAUCCGCGAGAGUGGAGGUCAACCCUUCGUCUUAGAGAAUCAGUUGGUUCGGGAGAUCGUCCAGCUAACUUAGAGAUGCGGAGGGCACCAGGGUGGGCUGCGCUAAUUGUCACCGGAAAUUUGCAGUGCCGAGCAUAGUAAGAUCCACAUAUACUCUAUGAUAAGAGAGAGAGCCAGCUGUUUAGUGGGGGAGGAUGUUGUCUCCUUCCCCCCUCUCUCUACUGGUUCGAUCACUUGGUCGUCAUCUCUAAAAGGGACUAUGUAACAUAAAUACAAUCGAAGUUUGAGGCAAUAACAGGUCUGUGAUGCCUUAUAUGUCAAGAAAAGACAAAACGUGCUACACUGAUAUAUACAACAAGUGCCUAGCUAGAUAUAGUAUGGCAAUCUCGAAUAUAUAUCGUGAUGGGGAUAGAUCUUGCAAUUAUAGAUCUUGAACGAGGAAAUUCUAGUAAUAGGCAAGUCAUCCUCUUACAAAGAUUAUUUUCCCCCCCCUUUUGCCCCCCCCCAGGCGCUCCUACCGAUACCGGGGGGGAACGGGGAAACCUGUUCGACCUUUGGGAAAAAUAAGUAAAUCAUAUCACCUAGAGGAAGGAGAAGUCGUAACAAGGUUCCUCUACCUCAGAAGGAUCAUAA